Molecule: ribosomal RNA, 492 nt
Filed under: uncultured bacterium
Lineage: Bacteria
Description: partial 16S ribosomal RNA
Rfam family: Bacterial small subunit ribosomal RNA
Source: RNAcentral
AGUGAACGCUGGCGGUAGGCCUAACACAUGCAAGUCGAACGGCAGCACAGUAAGAGCUCGCUCUUACGGGUGGCGAGUGGCGGACGGGUGAGGAAUACAUCGGAAUCUACUUUUUCGUGGGGGAUAACGUAGGGAAACUUACGCUAAUACCGCAUACGACCUACGGGUGAAAGCAGGGGAUCUUCGGACCUUGCGCGAUUGAAUGAGCCGAUGUCGGAUUAGCUAGUUGGCGGGGUAAAGGCCCACCAAGGCGACGAUCCGUAGCUGGUCUGAGAGGAUGAUCAGCCACACUGGAACUGAGACACGGUCCAGACUCCUACGGGAGGCAGCAGUGGGGAAUAUUGGACAAUGGGCGCAAGCCUGAUCCAGCCAUACCGCGUGGGUGAAGAAGGCCUUCGGGUUGUAAAGCCCUUUUGUUGGGAAAGAAAAGCAGCAGGUUAAUACCCCGCUGUUCUGACGGUACACAAAGAAUAAGCACCGGCUAACUUCGUG